RNAcentral lists this ribosomal RNA (429 nucleotides) under uncultured archaeon. Its description in RNAcentral is "bacterial SSU rRNA". It matches the Rfam family "Archaeal small subunit ribosomal RNA", at positions 474 to 903 of the family's 1478-position model. The record is from RNAcentral.
UACCAGCUCUCCGAGUGGUAGGGAUGAUUAUUGGGCUUAAAGCGUCCGUAGCCGGCUUAGCAAGUCUCCUGUUAAACUCAGCGACUUAAUCGUUGAAUCGCGGGAGAUACUACUAGGCUAGGAGGCGGGAGAGGUCGACGGUACUUCCGGGGUAGGGGUGAAAUCCUAUAAUUCCGGGAGGACCACCAGUGGCGAAGGCUGUCGACUAGAACGCGCUCGACGGUGAGGGACGAAAGCUGGGGGAGCGAACCGGAUUAGAUACCCGGGUAGUCCCAGCUGUAAACGAUGCGGGCUAGGUGUUGGAAUGGCUACGUGCCAUUUCAGUGCCGCAGGGAAGCCAUUAAGCCCGCCGCCUGGGGAGUACGGCCGCAAGGCUGAAACUUAAAGGAAUUGGGCGGGGAGCACCACAAGGCGUGAAGCUUGCGGUUC